CACGUAGUUAGCCGUGGCUUUCUGAUUAGGUACCGUCAUUUUCUUCCCUGCUGAUAGAGCUUUACAUACCGAGAUACUUCUUCACUCACGCGGCGUCGCUGCAUCAGGGUUUCCCCCAUUGUGCAAUAUUCCCCACUGCUGCCUCCCGUAGGAGUUUGGGCCGUGUCUCAGUCCCAAUGUGGCCGUCCGCCCUCUCAGGCCGGCUACCGAUCGUCGCUUUGGUGGGCCGUUACCCCGCCAACUGGCUAAUCGGACGCGGAUCCAUCGUAUGCCGAUAAAUCUUUUCACACCGUACCAUGCGGUACUGUGCGCUUAUGCGGUAUUAGCAGCUGUUUCCAACUGUUAUCCCCCUGCAUACGGCAGGUUAUCCACGCGUUACUCACCCGUCCGCCACUAACUUAACAAUCACUAGGUUUCAUGUUAAGCCCGUUCGACUUGCAUGUGUUAGGCACGCCGCCAGCGUUCAUCCUGAGCCAGGAUCAAACUCU
RNAcentral lists this ribosomal RNA (488 nucleotides) under uncultured Lachnospiraceae bacterium. RNAcentral's name for it is "partial 16S ribosomal RNA". The record is from RNAcentral. Lineage: Bacteria; Bacillati; Bacillota; Clostridia; Lachnospirales; Lachnospiraceae.